UACGGAGGGGGCUAGCGUUGUUCGGAAGUACUGGGCGUAAAGCGCACGUAGGCGGCUUUGUAAGUUAGAGGUGAAAGCCCAGGGCUUAACCCUGGAAUUGCCUUUAAGACUGCAUCGCUAGAAUCGUGGAGAGGUGAGUGGAAUUCCGAGUGUAGAGGUGAAAUUCGUAGAUAUUCGGAAGAAACACCAGUGGCGAAGGCGACUCACUGGACACGUAUUGACGCUGAGGUGCGAAAGCGUGGGGAGCAAACAGG
Molecule: ribosomal RNA, 254 nt
Filed under: uncultured bacterium
Lineage: Bacteria
Description: partial 16S ribosomal RNA
Rfam family: Bacterial small subunit ribosomal RNA
Source: RNAcentral